RNAcentral lists this ribosomal RNA (393 nucleotides) under uncultured bacterium. Its description in RNAcentral is "partial 16S ribosomal RNA". It matches the Rfam family "Bacterial small subunit ribosomal RNA", at positions 523 to 918 of the family's 1533-position model. The record is from RNAcentral.
AUACGGAGGACGCGAGCGUUAUCCGGAUUCAUUGGGUUUAAAGGGUGCGCAGGCGGCCGUGCAAGUCAGCGGUGAAAGCCCGGGGCCCAACCCCGGAAGUGCCGUUGAUACUGCAUGGCUGGAAUGCGGUCGAGGCGGGCGGAAAGGGGCGUGUAGCGGUGAAAUGCGUAGAGAUGCCACAGAACGCCGAUAGCGGAGGCAGCUCGCCAGGCCUGCAGUGACGCUCGGGCACGAAAGCGUGGGGAUCGAACAGGAUUAGAUACCCUGGUAGUCCACGCCGUAAACGAUGGGCGCUCGUCGUCGGCGGCAGACAGUCGGCGGCCAAGCGAAAGCGAUAAGCGCCCCACCUGGGGAGUACGGUCGCAAGGCUGAAACUCAAAGGAAUUGGCGGGG